This 159-nucleotide unclassified non-coding RNA is filed under the name uncultured Ascomycota. RNAcentral's name for it is "sequence contains ITS2". Lineage: Eukaryota; Fungi; Ascomycota. The record is from RNAcentral.
UCAACCCUCAAGUCUGACUUGGUGUUGAAGGUCAGUUGAGUGAUCAACUCCUUUCAAAGAUAAUGACAAGUGUUGAUGAUACUGUUCAGUACAUUGAGCUUUUUUCAAAGCACGUAUUGUUCGUGUGUCGCAAGACCGGUCCUCCCUUUUAUUUUUCAA